CGGGACGGGUGAGUAAUGCUUGGGAAUCUGGCUUAUGGAGGGGGAUAACUACGGGAAACUGUAGCUAAUACCGCGUAGUAUCGGAAGAUGAAAGUGCGGGACCGUAAGGCCGCAUGCCAUGGGAUGAGCCCAAGUGGGAUUGGUAGUUGGUGGGGUAAAGGCCUACCAAGCCUGCGAUCUCUAGCUGGUCUGAGAGGAUGGCCAGCCACACUGGAACUGAGACACGGUCCAG
RNAcentral lists this ribosomal RNA (232 nucleotides) under uncultured bacterium. RNAcentral's name for it is "partial 16S ribosomal RNA". It matches the Rfam family "Bacterial small subunit ribosomal RNA", at positions 100 to 334 of the family's 1533-position model. The record is from RNAcentral.